Molecule: long non-coding RNA, 635 nt
Filed under: Phasianus colchicus (ring-necked pheasant)
Lineage: Eukaryota; Metazoa; Chordata; Aves; Galliformes; Phasianidae
Description: lncRNA (ENSPCLG00000019989.1)
Source: RNAcentral
AGGCUGACCCAUACUCACACUUUCGCAGAGGUCUGACCUUUCAUCUCCCAUUUGAUCUCUGGUGCCUAUGACGUGUUGGGACUUGGUUUCACCUCCAGGAAGGAUCUGGAAUGGUUGGUCACUGGCAGAUUCUCACCAAAAGUAGGAAAUUUAUGCAGAAUAUUUCAUCUUUGAGAGAAGAGCAGCUCUUUAGUAAGCAGAGCAGUAUCAGGAAGGAACAUGCCAAUUGCCUACAUACGCAGGAUGGGUGUUCGAUUGUAAUUGUGCCUACAGAUACUCCUGUGACCUCGUCUUUUGCUGAUGACUUCAGUCAUUGUUUGUAAUAGUCAGACCCCUGGGGCAGAGAACAGAGUGAUUCAUCUCUUCUUGGGGUACUUGAAUUUACAGACCACUAAACAGACUGAAAUUAUUCUUAUUUGGAGCUUGCAUGAGACAAUUUUCAAAACUAGAAACAGUGCCAAACCAGAGCCCUAGAUCCAGAUUCAGAUGUCAGUGUGCAGUGCAACCUGUUACUGUAGCGGGCUGAGCACAUACACCAAACUUCUGGGAAGUUUUGAUUACUCAAAUCUAUGGGCAUUUGUAUCAUCAGGGAACCCCUUAGUAUGUACAGGCUAGUCAGCUUUAUUGACUACUCA